GACGAACGCUGGCGGCGUGCUUAACACAUGCAAGUCGAACGGUAAGGCCCUUCGGGGUACACGAGUGGCGAACGGGUGAGUAACACGUGGGUGAUCUGCCCUGCACUUCGGGAUUAGCCUGGGAAACUGGGUCUAAUACCGGAUAGGACUCCGGACUGCAUGGUCUGGGGUGGAAAGCUUUUGCGGUGUGGGAUGGGCCCGCGGCCUAUCAGCUUGUUGGUGGGGUGAUGGCCUACCAAGGCGCCGACGGGGAGCCGGCCUGAGAGGGUGACAGGCCAACGUGGAACUGAGAUACGGCCCAGACUCCUACGGGGGGCAGCAGUGGGGAAUAUUGCACAAUGGGCGCAAGCCUGCUGGAGCGACGCCGCGUGAGGGAUGACGGCCUUCGGGUUGUAAACCUCUUUCAGCAUCGACGAAGCGAAAGUGACGGUAGGUGCAGAAGAAGGACCGGCCAACUACGUGCCAGCAGCCGCCGUAA
This 478-nucleotide ribosomal RNA is filed under the name uncultured bacterium. RNAcentral describes it as "partial 16S ribosomal RNA". It matches the Rfam family "Bacterial small subunit ribosomal RNA", at positions 28 to 523 of the family's 1533-position model. The record is from RNAcentral.